GACGAACGCUGGCGGCGUGCUUAACACAUGCCAGUCGAACGGAAAGGCCCUGCUUUUGUGGGGUGCUCGAGUGGCGAACGGGUGAGUAACACGUGAGUAACCUGCCCUUGACUUUGGGAUAACUUCAGGAAACUGGGGCUAAUACCGGAUAGGAGCUCCUGCUGCAUGGUGGGGGUUGGAAAGUUUCGGCGGUUGGGGAUGGACUCGCGGCUUAUCAGCUUGUUGGUGGGGUAGUGGCUUACCAAGGCUUUGACGGGUAGCCGGCCUGAGAGGGUGACCGGCCACAUUGGGACUGAGAUACGGCCCAGACUCCUACGGGAGGCAGCAGUGGGGAAUAUUGCACAAUGGGCGGAAGCCUGAUGCAGCAACGCCGCGUGCGGGAUGACGGCCUUCGGGUUGUAAACCGCUUUCGCCUGUGACGAAGCGUGAGUGAAGGUAAUGGGUAAAGAAGCACCGGCUAACUACGUG
RNAcentral lists this ribosomal RNA (468 nucleotides) under uncultured bacterium. RNAcentral describes it as "partial 16S ribosomal RNA". It matches the Rfam family "Bacterial small subunit ribosomal RNA", at positions 28 to 507 of the family's 1533-position model. The record is from RNAcentral.